GGUGGCGAGUGGCGAACGGGUGAGUAAUGCACCGGAACGUAUCCAAUAAUGGGGGAUAACGCACCGAAAGGUGUGCUAAUACCGCAUACGCCCUGAGGGGGAAAGCAGGGGAUUCGAAAGAACCUUGCGUUAAUGGAGCGGCCGAUGUCGGAUUAGCUAGUCGGUGGGGUAAAGGCUCACCAAGGCGACGAUCCGUAGCUGGUCUGAGAGGACGACCAGCCACACUGGAACUGAGACACGGUCCAGACUCC
RNAcentral lists this ribosomal RNA (251 nucleotides) under uncultured bacterium. RNAcentral's name for it is "partial 16S ribosomal RNA". It matches the Rfam family "Bacterial small subunit ribosomal RNA", at positions 87 to 339 of the family's 1533-position model. The record is from RNAcentral.